RNAcentral lists this ribosomal RNA (1365 nucleotides) under Salmonella enterica. RNAcentral's name for it is "partial 23S ribosomal RNA". It matches the Rfam family "Bacterial large subunit ribosomal RNA", at positions 1589 to 2925 of the family's 2925-position model. The record is from RNAcentral. Lineage: Bacteria; Pseudomonadati; Pseudomonadota; Gammaproteobacteria; Enterobacterales; Enterobacteriaceae.
AGCAACAAAUGCCCUGCUUCCAGGAAAAGCCUCUAAGCAUCAGGUAACAUCAAAUCGUACCCCAAACCGACACAGGUGGUCAGGUAGAGAAUACCAAGGCGCUUGAGAGAACUCGGGUGAAGGAACUAGGCAAAAUGGUGCCGUAACUUCGGGAGAAGGCACGCUGACACGUAGGUGAAGUGAUUUACUCAUGGAGCUGAAGUCAGUCGAAGAUACCAGCUGGCUGCAACUGUUUAUUAAAAACACAGCACUGUGCAAACACGAAAGUGGACGUAUACGGUGUGACGCCUGCCCGGUGCCGGAAGGUUAAUUGAUGGGGUCAGCGCAAGCGAAGCUCCUGAUCGAAGCCCCGGUAAACGGCGGCCGUAACUAUAACGGUCCUAAGGUAGCGAAAUUCCUUGUCGGGUAAGUUCCGACCUGCACGAAUGGCGUAAUGAUGGCCAGGCUGUCUCCACCCGAGACUCAGUGAAAUUGAACUCGCUGUGAAGAUGCAGUGUACCCGCGGCAAGACGGAAAGACCCCGUGAACCUUUACUAUAGCUUGACACUGAACAUUGAGCCUUGAUGUGUAGGAUAGGUGGGAGGCUUUGAAGCGUGGACGCCAGUCUGCGUGGAGCCGACCUUGAAAUACCACCCUUUAAUGUUUGAUGUUCUAACGUGGACCCGUAAUCCGGGUUGCGGACAGUGUCUGGUGGGUAGUUUGACUGGGGCGGUCUCCUCCUAAAGAGUAACGGAGGAGCACGAAGGUUGGCUAAUCCUGGUCGGACAUCAGGAGGUUAGUGCAAUGGCAUAAGCCAGCUUGACUGCGAGCGUGACGGCGCGAGCAGGUGCGAAAGCAGGUCAUAGUGAUCCGGUGGUUCUGAAUGGAAGGGCCAUCGCUCAACGGAUAAAAGGUACUCCGGGGAUAACAGGCUGAUACCGCCCAAGAGUUCAUAUCGACGGCGGUGUUUGGCACCUCGAUGUCGGCUCAUCACAUCCUGGGGCUGAAGUAGGUCCCAAGGGUAUGGCUGUUCGCCAUUUAAAGUGGUACGCGAGCUGGGUUUAGAACGUCGUGAGACAGUUCGGUCCCUAUCUGCCGUGGGCGCUGGAAGACUGAGGGGGGCUGCUCCUAGUACGAGAGGACCGGAGUGGACGCAUCACUGGUGUUCGGGUUGUCAUGCCAAUGGCACUGCCCGGUAGCUAAAUGCGGAAAAGAUAAGUGCUGAAAGCAUCUAAGCACGAAACUUGCCCCGAGAUGAGUCUUCCCUGAGACUUUGAGUCUCCUGAAGGAACGUUAAAGACGAUGACGUUGAUAGGCCGGGUGUGUAAGCGCAGCGAUGCGUUGAGCUAACCGGUACUAAUGAACCGUGAGGCUUAACCUUACAAC